This 253-nucleotide ribosomal RNA is filed under the name uncultured bacterium. RNAcentral describes it as "partial 16S ribosomal RNA". It matches the Rfam family "Bacterial small subunit ribosomal RNA", at positions 524 to 776 of the family's 1533-position model. The record is from RNAcentral.
UACGUAGGCAGCGAGCGUUGUUCGGAGUUACUGGGCGUAAAGAGUGCGUAGGCGGUUUUCUAAGUUUGGUGUGAAAUCUCCCGGCUUAACUGGGAGGGUGCGCCGAAAACUGGAAGGCUUGAGUAUGGGAGAGGUAAGCGGAAUCCCUGGUGUAGCCGUGAAAUGCGUAGAUAUCAGGAGGAACACCUGCGGUGUAGACGGCUUACUGGACCAUAACUGACGCUGAGGCACGAAAGCGUGGGUAGCAAACAGG